GAUCUGGUUGAUUCUGCCAGUAGUCAUAUG
This 30-nucleotide ribosomal RNA is filed under the name Leishmania major. RNAcentral's name for it is "partial 18S ribosomal RNA". Lineage: Eukaryota; Euglenozoa; Kinetoplastea; Trypanosomatida; Trypanosomatidae. The record is from RNAcentral.